Molecule: ribosomal RNA, 494 nt
Filed under: uncultured bacterium
Lineage: Bacteria
Description: partial 16S ribosomal RNA
Rfam family: Bacterial small subunit ribosomal RNA
Source: RNAcentral
GACGAACGCUGGCGGCGCGCUUAACACAUGCAAGUCGAACGGAAAGGCCUGCUUUCCCUUGUGGAUUGCGGGUACUCGAGUGGCGAACGGGUGAGUAACACGUGAGUGAUCUGCCCCCAACUUGGGUAUAAGCCUGGGAAACUGGGUCUAAUUCCCGAUAGGACUGCAGGGUGGUGCCUGUUGUGGAAAACGAUUUUCUAGUGGUUGGGGAUGAGCUCGCGGCCUAUCAGCUUGUUGGUGGGGUAAUGGCCUACCAAGGCGGCGACGGGUAGCCGGCCUGAGAGGGUGGACGGCCACAGUGGGACUGAGAUACGGCCCAGACUCCUACGGGAGGCAGCAGUGGGGAAUAUUGCACAAUGGGCGGAAGCCUGAUGCAGCGACGCCGCGUGGGGGAUGACGGCCUUCGGGUUGUAAACUCCUUUCGACCGCGAGGAAGCCACCUGGUUGGAAGGGUGGUGACGGUAGUGGUAGAAGAAGCACCGGCUAACUACGUG